CAGUAGCCGCGGUAAUACGAAGGGUGCAAGCGUUAAUCGGAAUUACUGGGCGUAAAGCGUGCGCAGGCGGUUCGUUAAGACAGAUGUGAAAUCCCCGGGCUUAACCUGGGAACUGCAUUUGUGACUGGCGAGCUAGAGUAUGGCAGAGGGGGGUAGAAUUCCACGUGUAGCAGUGAAAUGCGCAGAGAUGUGGAGGAAUACCGAUGGCGAAGGCAGCCCCCUGGGCCAAUACUGACGCUCAUGCACGAAAGCGUGGGGAGCAAACAGGAUUAGAUACCCGAGUAGUCCCUGUCUCUUAUAC
RNAcentral lists this ribosomal RNA (301 nucleotides) under uncultured bacterium. RNAcentral describes it as "partial 16S ribosomal RNA". It matches the Rfam family "Bacterial small subunit ribosomal RNA", at positions 509 to 807 of the family's 1533-position model. The record is from RNAcentral.